This 440-nucleotide ribosomal RNA is filed under the name uncultured bacterium. RNAcentral describes it as "partial 16S ribosomal RNA". It matches the Rfam family "Bacterial small subunit ribosomal RNA", at positions 338 to 795 of the family's 1533-position model. The record is from RNAcentral.
CCUACGGGUGGCAGCAGUGGGGAAUAUUGCACAAUGGGGGAAACCCUGAUGCAGCAACGCCGCGUGAGUGAAGAAGUAUCUCGGUAUGUAAAGCUCUAUCAGCAGGGAAGAAAAUGACGGUACCUGACUAAGAAGCCCCGGCUAACUACGUGCCAGCAGCCGCGGUAAUACGUAGGGGGCAAGCGUUAUCCGGAUUGACUGGGUGGAAAGGGAGCGUAGACUGUGUGGCAAGUCUGAAGUGAAAGCCGGGGGCACAACCCCGGGACUGCUUUGGAAACUGUCAUGCUGGAGUGCUGGAGAGGUAAGCGGAAUUCCUAGUGUAGCGGUGAAAUGCGUAGAUAUUAGGAGGAACACCAGUGGCGAAGGCGGCUUACUGGACAGUAACUGACGUUGAGGCUCGAAAGCGUGGGGAGCAAACAGGAUUAGAUACCCGAGUAGUC